This 466-nucleotide long non-coding RNA is filed under the name Homo sapiens (human). RNAcentral describes it as "HSALNT0203313". The record is from RNAcentral. Lineage: Eukaryota; Metazoa; Chordata; Mammalia; Primates; Hominidae.
UAGACGGAGUUUCGCUCUUGUUGUCCAGGCUGGAGUGCAAAGGCACGAUCUUGGCUCACUGCAACCUCUGCCUCGCAGGUUCAAGUGAUUCUCCUUCCUCAGCCUCCCGAGUAGCUGGAACUACAGGCAUGCACCACCAUGCCUGGCUAAUUUUGUAUUUUUAGUAGAGACGGAGUUUCUGCACGUUGGUCUUGCUGGUCUGGAACUCCCGACCUCAGUUCUAAAGAAUCAUUCUAAAAUGGACUGGAAAUACAACAUUCCGAGUUAGAGAGGAACUGUCUGGUACAGCCCGGGGAUUGUUCCUCUCUCCUCUGGAAUCAGGAUGUGCUUCAAAGUUUUGUCCAGUGAACCGCCUCACCCCUGAGGUAUAUAACCCAGGGAGGACUGCCUUUUUGGGUCCCUCAGCUGUGGUGCAAGCGGGACACACACAGCUGAGACUCCAUCUGCCCUGGAGAAGCUUUCUUGG